GAUCUGAGAGAAUGUGUAGAUACAGCGUGAAGAGAGAGACGUUGUUCACUACACAAACAUGAGAUAGCGAAUGCGAUCAGCUGGGUUUGGUCAAAACACGGUAGUUUGACAGCUAGGUAACUGAUUUUGUAUGCGCAGGGGGCUUUUCGUUUUACCACGUUUUACAAGAUUUUGAUUAUCCUACUUGCGUUUCAACUUGUGUUUUGUGUUCUUGUGUAUGAAAUGCCUGCUACUUGUGCAGCAUAUGGCUGUACAAACCGCCAUAAAAAAGGGGGGAACAUUUCUUUUCACAGUUUUCCAAAUGAUGAAAGUUUGCGACGAAAAUGGGUAAUUGCCAUGAAAAGGGAACAUUUCGAACCGUCAAAAUAUUCGAAGCUUUGUUCAGAUCAUUUCAAAAAAGAUUUUGUUUUUACUUUUGGCUUAAAAACAUUAAAAUUGGGCACAGUGCCUACGAUUUUUAAUUUUCCAUCGCAUUUAUUAAAGAAGGAACCCAAGGAACGCUCCACUAGGCUCCGAAACUUUGAAAAUGAUGGUAAUUCUGUUGAGACGUUGGUUGAGACGGUUGUGACCAAUGUUGUGACAGAAUCAGAAACUGGCGUAUCUGAAGUAUCUGUGACCAGUUCUUCCACUUCCCAUCAAGAGCAGCAGCCAUCAACCUCCACGGUACCGGAAGAGACUUUAGAACCACAAUUCGUUUCAAAACAAGAAGGCACAAAAAGAAAAAGAAGUCAACCAAUAUAUGUAGGAGAUUUUUCUCAGGCUACUGAAACGAAUUAAGUCUUUGGAUCAAUUAAUUGAACAUUUAGAAACUACCAACAAAGUUUCGGCUGAUUGUCAUUCAAUUCUUAAGAUUUGAAUGGUUAUUGUAAUGAAUGGUUUAUCUGCAUGAUGGGAUUUUGCUUUGUUAUAGCUGAGGUUGUAGAGGCUUUUUGACUGAUAGUUUUGUAUUUUUUUUCAGCUUUUUUUUAUAAAGUAGCGUAGGUGGGUAACAAUUGUCAGAAGGACAUUUUUUUUCAGAAAUCGGGGGAUUAAUUUUUGUUUUGGGAGGGAUAUUACUCAAGUUUUUUUAGGACUGCGUUCCAAAGUCACAAGAACAACUGCUUUUACGCCAGCUGAAAUAAUCGCCAGAAAGAAAAUUUCCCCCAGAAUUAAGAGCUUUUGCACUUACUUUACAUUUUUAUUCUAGUUCAGCCUACAAUUAUGUUAGAAACACCUUUGGCAAAUGUUUGCCUCACCCUAACACUAUUACAAAGUGGUAUUCUACUGUUGAUGGUUCACCUGGAUACACUUCAGAGUCAUUGAACGCUAUUAAAAUGAAAGCCGACGAACUCCAACAGGAAGGAAAAAAUCUAGUUUGCUCUCUUAUAAUGGAUGAAAUGUCAAUUCGACAGCAUGUGGAAUGG
This is an RNA transcript of Tribolium castaneum (red flour beetle), 1403 nucleotides long. RefSeq lists it as uncharacterized. The record is from RefSeq and is a predicted model, not a curated record. The transcript has 4 exons. NCBI's taxonomy places the organism in Eukaryota, Metazoa, Arthropoda, Insecta, Coleoptera, Tenebrionidae.